Molecule: ribosomal RNA, 401 nt
Filed under: uncultured bacterium
Lineage: Bacteria
Description: bacterial SSU rRNA
Rfam family: Bacterial small subunit ribosomal RNA
Source: RNAcentral
CAAGGCUUGACAUAUACGAGAACGGGCCAGAAAUGGUCAACUCUUUGGACACUCGUAAACAGGUGGUGCAUGGUUGUCGUCAGCUCGUGUCGUGAGAUGUUGGGUUAAGUCCCGCAACGAGCGCAACCCUCGUUCUAUGUUGCCAGCACGUAAUGGUGGGAACUCAUGGGAUACUGCCGGGGUCAACUCGGAGGAAGGUGGGGAUGACGUCAAAUCAUCAUGCCCCUUAUGUCUUGGGCUUCACGCAUGCUACAAUGGCCGGUACAAUGGGCUGCAAUACCGUGAGGUGGAGCGAAUCCCAAAAAGCCGGUCCCAGUUCGGAUUGAGGUCUGCAACUCGACCUCAUGAAGUCGGAGUCGCUAGUAAUCGCAGAUCAGCAACGCUGCGGUGAAUACGUUCCC